This 824-nucleotide ribosomal RNA is filed under the name Oceanobacillus sp. Its description in RNAcentral is "bacterial SSU rRNA". It matches the Rfam family "Bacterial small subunit ribosomal RNA", at positions 96 to 905 of the family's 1533-position model. Lineage: Bacteria; Bacillati; Bacillota; Bacilli; Caryophanales; Bacillaceae. The record is from RNAcentral.
CGGCGGACGGGUGAGUAACACGUGGGCAACCUGCCUGUAAGACUGGGAUAACCCCGGGAAACCGGGGCUAAUACCGGAUAAUACUUUCUUUUGCAUAAAGGAAAGUUGAAAGGCGGCUUCGGCUGUCACUUACAGAUGGGCCCGCGGCGCAUUAGCUAGUUGGUGAGGUAACGGCUCACCAAGGCGACGAUGCGUAGCCGACCUGAGAGGGUGAUCGGCCACACUGGGACUGAGACACGGCCCAGACUCCUACGGGAGGCAGCAGUAGGGAAUCUUCCGCAAUGGACGAAAGUCUGACGGAGCAACGCCGCGUGAGUGAUGAAGGUUUUCGGAUCGUAAAACUCUGUUGUUAGGGAAGAACAAGUUGGAUAGUAACUGACCCAACCUUGACGGUACCUAACCAGAAAGCCACGGCUAACUACGUGCCAGCAGCCGCGGUAAUACGUAGGUGGCAAGCGUUGUCCGGAAUUAUUGGGCGUAAAGCGCUCGCAGGCGGUCCUUUAAGUCUGAUGUGAAAUCUCGCGGCUCAACCGCGAACGGUCAUUGGAAACUGGAGGACUUGAGUACAGAAGAGGAGAGUGGAAUUCCACGUGUAGCGGUGAAAUGCGUAGAGAUGUGGAGGAACACCAGUGGCGAAGGCGACUCUCUGGUCUGUAACUGACGCUGAGGAGCGAAAGCGUGGGGAGCGAACAGGAUUAGAUACCCUGGUAGUCCACGCCGUAAACGAUGAGUGCUAGGUGUUAGGGGGUUUCCGCCCCUUAGUGCUGAAGUUAACGCAUUAAGCACUCCGCCUGGGGAGUACGGCCGCAAGGCUGAAACUCAAA